This 254-nucleotide ribosomal RNA is filed under the name uncultured bacterium. RNAcentral describes it as "partial 16S ribosomal RNA". It matches the Rfam family "Bacterial small subunit ribosomal RNA", at positions 524 to 776 of the family's 1533-position model. The record is from RNAcentral.
UACGUAGGGCGCAAGCGUUGUCCGGAAUUAUUGGGCGUAAAGAGCUCGUAGGCGGUUUGUCGCGUCUGCUGUGAAAACCUAAGGCUCAACCUUGGGCUUGCAGUGGGUACGGGCAGACUAGAGUGCGGUAGGGGUGACUGGAAUUCCUGGUGUAGCGGUGGAAUGCGCAGAUAUCAGGAGGAACACCGGUGGCGAAGGCGGGUCUCUGGGCCGAUACUGACGCUGGAGGUGCGAAAGCGUGGGGAGCAAACAGG